Acipenser ruthenus (sterlet) is the source of this 1157-nucleotide long non-coding RNA. RefSeq lists it as uncharacterized. The transcript is spliced from 3 exons. The record is from RefSeq and is a predicted model, not a curated record. Lineage: Eukaryota; Metazoa; Chordata; Actinopteri; Acipenseriformes; Acipenseridae.
UUUCAGGUGUGUCGAUGCUGUGAGGACAGUGCUGAAGCCUUCAGUCUCUGUGUCUCAGUGUCUCGGUGUCUCUGCGUGUGUGUUUCAGGUGUGUCGAUGCUGUGAGGACAGUGCUGAAGCCUUCAGUCUCUGUGUCUCAGUGUCUCAGUGUCUCUGCGUGUGUGUUUCAGGUGUGUCGAUGCUGUGAGGACAGUGCUGAAGCCUUCAGUCUCAGUGUCUCAGUGUCUCAGUGUCUCUGCGUGUGUGUUUCAGGUGUGUCGAUGCUGUGAGGACAGUGCUGAAGCCUUCAGUCUCAGUGUCUCCGUGUCUCCGUGUCUCUGCGUGUGUGUUUCAGGUGUGUCGAUGCUGUGAGGACAGUGCUGAAGCCUUCAGUCUCUGUGUCUCAGUGUCUCUGUGUCUCUGCGUGUGUGUUUCAGGUGUGUCGAUGCUGUGAGGACAGCGCUGAAGCCUUCAGUCUCAGUGUCUCAGUGUCUCCGUGUCUCUGCGUGUGUGUUUCAGGUGUGUCGAUGCUGUGAGGACAGCGCUGAAGCCUUCAGUCUCUGUGUCUCAGUGUCUCGGUGUCUCUGCGGGUGUGUUUCAGGUGUGUCGAUGCUGUGAGGACAGUGCUGAAGCCUUCAGUCUCUGUGUCUCAGUGUCUCGGUGUCUCUGCGGGUGUGUUUCAGGUGUGUCGAUGCUGUGAGGACAGUGCUGAAGCCUUCAGUCUCUGUGUCUCAGUGUCUCUGUGUCUCUGCGUGUGUGUUUCAGGUGUGUCGAUGCUGUGAGGACAGCGCUGAAGCCUUCAGUCUCAGUGUCUCAGUGUCUCCGUGUCUCUGCGUGUGUGUUUCAGGUGUGUCGAUGCUGUGAGGACAGCGCUGAAGCCUUCAGUCUCAGUGUCUCCGUGUCCCUGCGUGUGUGUUUCAGGUGUGUCGAUGCUGUGAGGACAGCGCUGAAGCCUUCAGUCUCUGUGUCUCAGUGUCUCGGUGUCUCUGCGGGUGUGUUUCAGGUGUGUCGAUGCUGUGAGGACAGUGCUGAAGCCUUCAGUCUCUGUGUCUCAGUGUCUCGGUGUCUCUGCGGGUGUGUUUCAGGUGUGUCGAUGCUGUGAGGACAGUGCUGAAGCCUUCAGUCUCUGUGUCUCAGUGUCUCGGUGUCUCUGCGUGUGUGUUUCAGGUGUGUCGAUG